AGUAGUUUGAUCAUGGCUCGAGGAUGAACGCUAGCUACAGGCUUAACACAUGCAAGUCGGAGGGGCAGCAUAGAAAGUAGCUUGCUUACUUUUGAUGGCGACCGGCGCACGGGUGCGUAACGCGUAUCCAAUCUACCCAUGGCUCAGGGAUAGCCUUUCGAAAGAAAGAUUAAUACCUGAUGGUUCGUCUUUUCCGCAUGGUUUGGCGAAUAAAGAUUUAUCGGCGAUGGAGUGGGGAUGCGUCUGAUUAGGUUGUCGGCGGGGUAACGGCCCACCGAGCCCGCGAUCAGUAGGGGUUCUGAGAGGAAGGUCCCCCACAUUGGAACUGAGACACGGUCCAAACUCC
RNAcentral lists this ribosomal RNA (346 nucleotides) under uncultured Bacteroidales bacterium. RNAcentral describes it as "bacterial SSU rRNA". It matches the Rfam family "Bacterial small subunit ribosomal RNA", at positions 1 to 339 of the family's 1533-position model. Lineage: Bacteria; Pseudomonadati; Bacteroidota; Bacteroidia; Bacteroidales. The record is from RNAcentral.